This 1411-nucleotide ribosomal RNA is filed under the name Scinax granulatus. Its description in RNAcentral is "partial 16S large subunit ribosomal RNA". It matches the Rfam family "Bacterial large subunit ribosomal RNA", at positions 23 to 2567 of the family's 2925-position model. The record is from RNAcentral. Lineage: Eukaryota; Metazoa; Chordata; Amphibia; Anura; Hylidae.
GCCAAAAUUCUAGCUCCCCAUUAACCCUAUGUACCCCACCCCUUAACUCAUUCCAACCAAAACAUUUUUACAUUAUAGUAAAGGAGAUUGAAAAAUUUACUGAAGCAAUAAACCUAGUACCGCAAGGGAAAGAUGAAAUAUUAAUGAAAAUAUUUAAGCAAAAAAAAGUAGAGCCCAACUCUCGUACCUUUUGCAUCAUGGUUCAACUAGUCUAAUCAAGCAAAAAGCAUUAUAGUUUGACCCCCCGAAACUAAGCGAGCUACUUCAGGGCAGCUUAAUGAGCCAACCCGUCUCUGUUGCAAAAGAGUGGGAAGACCCCUAAGUAGAGGUGACAUAUCUAACGAGCCUAGUGAUAGCUGGUUACUUAGGAAAAGGAUCUUAGUCCAACCUAAAGUCUUACCUUUAUGCCAAAAACACCUUUUGACUUUAGAGCAAUUCAAAUAAGGUACAGCCUAUUUGAAACAGGAUACAACCUAAUCUGACGGGUAAAAUUUAUAUUAACCCCCAUCCCCCCCAAGUAGGCCUAAGAGCAGCCAUCUUUUUAAAAGCGUCACAGCUUAGUCCCCCUCAAAAUCCCAAUUCCCCAUACUUACUUAAACCCUCUAACAUUACUGAGUAAUCCUAUACUUUUAUAGAAAAUUUUAUGUUGAAACUAGUAACAAGAAUAAAAACCUUCUCUUAAAUGCAAGUAUAAAUCAGAAAGGAUAAACCACUGAUAAUUAACGCCCAUGAACAUAUAUUAGCAACCCCACAAGAAAACCCUAAUAUACCUCACGUUAACCUGACACAAGAGCAUUUCAAGAAAGAUUAAAAGAAAGAGAAGGAACUCGGCAAAUAUUAACCCCGCCUGUUUACCAAAAACAUCGCCUCUUGACUAAAAAUAAGAGGUCCAGCCUGCCCAGUGACAAAUGUUCAACGGCCGCGGUAUCCUAACCGUGCGAAGGUAGCGUAAUCACUUGUUCUUUAAAUGGGGACUAGUAUGAACGGCACCACGAGGGUUAUACUGUCUCCUCUUUCCAAUCAGUGAAACUAAUCUCCCCGUGAAGAAGCGGGGAUGAGAUUAUAAGACGAGAAGACCCUAUGGAGCUUUAAACUUCUCUUCAGACGCUAGAAUACUCUUACAAGUCACCGACCCCUUCAUACUCACCCUCGGCGCCAUGAAGAUGACUUUUAGGUUGGGGUGACCGUGGAGUAUAAAAAAUCCUCCACGCUGAACUAGGUCUCCAAACCUUGAGCGUAGGGCUACAACCCAAAGCACUAAAAAACUAACACCCAUUGACCCAAUAUUAUUUGAUCAACGAACCAAGUUACCCAGGGAUAACAGCGCAAUCCACUUCAAGAGUCCCUAUCGACAAGUGGGUUUACGACCUCGAUGUUGGAUCAGGGUAUCCCAGUGGUGCAGCCGCUACUA